CACUGCCAUCAGCUUCUCCUCCCUCUACCCCGCAGAGUUAGCAGCUCACGGCCCACUCAGGUCCUGUUCCCAACACACAGGUACCAGAAGCAGAUCACAGCAUCUCAGCGAGGGAAGCCUCACCCUUCUGAAUAGACCCACUACCUGACCACUCCGCUGCUGCCAACCCGGUCCAAGCCGCCAUCACCUCUCACCUGGAUUGCAGCAACCGCCUCCUAAUAGAUCCCUCUGACUCCACCCUCAUCUCCUUCCAGUCUAUCAUCAAUCCAGCACUAGAGAAAUCACUGGAUAACCUCAAUCCUGUCACAUCGCCCAUCUGCUGCAAGCCUGCCAAGGUCUCUCCAUGUCACCUGGAGUCAAAGUCAAAGCCAAGAUCCUUAAAUGGCUCCACAGCUACAUGUUUUGUGCCCUGUAGCUCCUGGACCACAUCUCUGACUUCUAUCUCCUCAUUCACUCCAUUUUAGUCACAAGGGCCUCCUUGUCACUCCUCAAACAUACUCCUGCCUUGGAGCAUUGUCCCAGCUUUGCCCUAGGCCUGGAAGACUCUCGUCCACUUGCCUAAUUCCCUGGCCUCCUGUAUUUUCUUGCUCAAAGGUCUCCCACUCAGUGUACCCUGCCCCCACUUUCUUUCCCCUUAACAAAUGCAUGUCAACAAUAACAAA
Suricata suricatta (meerkat) is the source of this 662-nucleotide long non-coding RNA. RefSeq lists it as uncharacterized. The record is from RefSeq and is a predicted model, not a curated record. The transcript is spliced from 2 exons. Lineage: Eukaryota; Metazoa; Chordata; Mammalia; Carnivora; Herpestidae.